UGUGGUUCACUCUUUCGAGUGAUGAAAAGGGAAUCAGGUGAGAAUCCUGAGCAGUCCCGCUGCUGUAUGCUGUUUUUAUACGGAUUGCAAAACAAAAAGCCACUGAAACCUGCUACUGCAAAUAGAUUUUGUAUACGAGAAUGGGCUUCGGGAAGGCAUUUGCAAUCGACAGCAAGCCAGAAGACCUGCCACAGAUGGAU
RNAcentral lists this non-coding RNA (200 nucleotides) under bovine gut metagenome. The record is from RNAcentral.